This 253-nucleotide ribosomal RNA is filed under the name uncultured bacterium. RNAcentral describes it as "partial 16S ribosomal RNA". It matches the Rfam family "Bacterial small subunit ribosomal RNA", at positions 524 to 776 of the family's 1533-position model. The record is from RNAcentral.
UACGGGGGGGGUAAGCGUUGUUCGGAAUUACUGGGCGUAGAGGGCUCGUAGGCGGCCAACUAAGUCAGACGUGAAAUCCCUCAGCUUAACUGGGGAACUGCGUCUGAUACUGGAUGGCUUGGAUUCGGGAGAGGAAUGCGGAAUUCCAGGUGUAGCGGUGAAAUGCGUAGAUAUCUGGAGGAACACCGGUGGCGAAGGCGGCAUUCUGGACCGACAUUGACGCUGAGGAGCGAAAGCCAGGGGAGCAAACGGG